RNAcentral lists this transfer RNA (75 nucleotides) under Candidatus Woesearchaeota archaeon. RNAcentral describes it as "tRNA-Gly". It matches the Rfam family "tRNA". From Rfam's summary of the family: Transfer RNA (tRNA) molecules are approximately 80 nucleotides in length. The record is from RNAcentral. Lineage: Archaea; Nanobdellati; Candidatus Woesearchaeota.
GCGGGAGUAGUGUAGUCUGGUCUAUCACUCGACGUUGCCAACGUUGCGACUUGGGUUCGAAUCCCAGCUCCCGCA